AGUGAACGCUGGCGGUAGGCCUAACACAUGCAAGUCGAACGGCAGCACAGAGGAGCUUGCUCCUUGGGUGGCGAGUGGCGGACGGGUGAGGAAUACAUCGGAAUCUACUCUGUCGUGGGGGAUAACGUAGGGGAACUUACGCUAAUACCGCAUACGACCUACGGGUGAAAGCAGGGGAUCUUCGGACCUUGCGCGAUUGAAUGAGCCGAUGUCGGAUUAGCUAGUUGGCGGGGUAAAGGCCCACCAAGGCGACGAUCCGUAGCUGGUCUGAGAGGAUGAUCAGCCACACUGGAACUGAGACACGGUCCAGACUCCUACGGGAGGCAGCAGUGGGGAAUAUUGGACAAUGGGCGCAAGCCUGAUCCAGCCAUACCGCGUGGGUGAAGAAGGCCUUCGGGUUGUAAAGCCCUUUUGUUGGGAAAGAAAUCCAGCCGGCUAAUACCUGGUUGGGAUGACGGUACCCAAAGAAUAAGCACCGGUUAACUUCGUGCCAGGCGCCGGGGUAGUACGAAGGGUGCCAGCGUUACUCGGAAUUACUGGGCGUAAAGCGUGCGUAAGUGGUUAUUUAGUACGUGGGGGAAGCCCAGGGGUCCAGCUGGGAACUGAGU
Molecule: ribosomal RNA, 608 nt
Filed under: uncultured Stenotrophomonas sp.
Lineage: Bacteria; Pseudomonadati; Pseudomonadota; Gammaproteobacteria; Lysobacterales; Lysobacteraceae
Description: bacterial SSU rRNA
Rfam family: Bacterial small subunit ribosomal RNA
Source: RNAcentral